Molecule: long non-coding RNA, 1201 nt
Organism: Alligator mississippiensis (American alligator)
Lineage: Eukaryota; Metazoa; Chordata; Crocodylia; Alligatoridae
Exons: 3
Source: RefSeq, a predicted model, not a curated record
GGGCCCUGCUAGGCCGCGCCCGCCCCUGCCCCUCGCCGGGCCCGCCGGGCCGCCCUUUCCCCACCGCAACCCCCCUCCCCCGCGGCGCAGCGGGCCCGGGGCGGCCGGGCGGGCAGGGCCGAGGCGGCGGGUGCAACGCGGCCUGCGGCGACGGCCGAAGCCUGCGCUGGAGUAGCGCCCCCCCCCGCGCCCGCGGCCUGCGGGGCCCGGCGGCCGGCGCUGCAGUACCUGGAUGCACACUGAUUGGCUGCGAGGGCCUGGAGCAUUAUGGACAGAGGGGACAAGGGAGCAAGGGAGCUGCCCCCCAGCAACAGCUGAAUCUCCUGUUUGAACCCUCACUUCAUCCUCUCCCACGUGCCCUUCCCUCCUAUGAAAUGGAAGCACUGAGUACAACACGUACUGGCUACCAGCACAAGUUAGUACACAGCAGUCCUGCACCUGUCUCUCACAGGACUGUACUCAGCAGCCAUUGUGAGGAAAAGGCAUAAGUCAACAAAUACUGAGCUACAACAUAUACAGAUACUACCUGCAAAAAUGCAUUAAGUGAACAUUUUCCAGGUUGCAAAGUCAAGCUUACAGAAAUGAGGAAAUUCUGGAACUAACGUUUGCUUUGUGCAGCCUUAUUUUGAAACUCUUGCAAGCACACAUUAUGGUGCAAUCCUUAAUUACAUGUUGAUAUGUGACUUUUUUUCUACCUUGCUGUGGAGAUGAUUCAGGGCUGUGUACUGAAGGAGGUUGCUGUAUGUUGGACUCCUGCCUGUUAUGUUGCAGAAGUUGGAAAGGUAUGUAGUGAAUGAAGCAAUGAUUGCAGGAAGAGAAAGUGCAGUCUGAUAAUUAAAGUACUGGAGUGCCACGCUAGAGAGCUGGAUUCUCUCUGUCUGCCAAAGAGUUCAUAUGAGAUGCAGAACAUACUGCUUGAGCUAUACUGUCUGCAGGCACUCUUUAAUUGUAUGUUCCAUAUUUUCUGCGUGUCAGAAGUGUGAUGGCAGAGUGAUAAAAAUAUUUUUGCUAUUGCCCCUGAGACACAAGUUCAAGCCCUGUUCUGGACUCAUGCCAAAGACUGCCUCCAACUGACCCAAUUGUAACGGGUACCUGAUCAUUCAGACUGAGGAGUCAAAGGCAGUCAUAUGUGAUCUCUCCCUUGUAUGUUGUUGGCUAAGAAACUAGGGUGCCUUAAUUAUACUAACCCAAUGGGCCAACA